UGUAAAAUACCUAAUAACUGUACAAAUAGGCUACUAGCUGCAUGCUGUGAGUAUUAGCCGUUCUAAAUGCACACAAAAAGGCGCUGUUUGAAAUGAAAGGGAAUCAGUUCGCUUCGAGGAUACUGAAUUCGCUACAACACCGGCACUGUUUGAACGCGUCAUCAAUAGCCGCAGGAGAGCAACGAAACAGUGUCACAUUUAUUUCUAUACUUUUGUUACAAU
Anguilla rostrata (American eel) is the source of this 222-nucleotide long non-coding RNA. RefSeq lists it as uncharacterized. The record is from RefSeq and is a predicted model, not a curated record. The transcript has 2 exons. Lineage: Eukaryota; Metazoa; Chordata; Actinopteri; Anguilliformes; Anguillidae.